AACGAACGCUGGCGGCAUGCCUAACACAUGCAAGUCGAACGAGACCUUCUGGUUUAGUGGCGCACCGGGGCGUAACGCGUGGGAACCUGCCCUUAGGUUCGGAAUAACUCACUGAAAGGGGUGCUAAUACCGGCGAAUGUCUUCGGACCAAAGAUUUAACGCCUGUGGGUGGGCCCGCGUUGGAUUUGCUAGUUGGUAGGGGAAAAGACUUACAAGGCGACGUUCCAUAGCUGGUCUGAGAGGAAGUUCAGCCACACUGGGACUGAGACACGGCACAGACUCCUACGGGAGGCAGCAGGGGAGUAUAUUGGAAAGUGGGCGAAAGCCUGAUGGAGCUGUGACGCGUAGGUGGAGGAGGCAUGAGGGUUGUAAAGCUUUUUUACGCGGGAUGAUAAUGACAGUACCGGGGGAAUAAGCUCCGGCUAACUCCGUG
This 433-nucleotide ribosomal RNA is filed under the name uncultured bacterium. RNAcentral's name for it is "partial 16S ribosomal RNA". It matches the Rfam family "Bacterial small subunit ribosomal RNA", at positions 29 to 507 of the family's 1533-position model. The record is from RNAcentral.